AACACGAGCACUGCCUCUCCUCGAUGCGCACGGGUAUGGCACCGCCGCCGCCGUCACCCGCGGCCGGUCGGCCUCUCCAGCCAUCCGCCGCCGCCACGCGCGGCCGGUUGUCCUCCCCGGCCAUCCGCCGCCCUGUUCUCCAUCCCCUCCCCGGUUGUCCCCGAUCACACACGAGCACGGGAUCUCUGUGAUGCGCACGGGUACGGCGCCGUCGCCGCCGCCACGUGCGACCGGUCGUCCUCUCCGGCCAUCCGUCGCUGCCACGCGCGGCCGGUAGUCCUCUCCGGCCAUUUGCCGCCUUGUUCUCCAUCCCCUCCCCAUGCGUCCCCAAUCAGCCUCCUCGAUCUCGAACCUCAUGUUGUCGUCCUUCUCUGAUUUGGAUCAAAGUGGAGCCAUCAAUGGAAGCAGGGGAGCAGCAGAUGUGGAGCCAAUGGAGGAGGAGGAACAGCUCGGGAAACAUGAGGGAAGGUGUGGAUCUGACGGAAGCGGGGGAGCACAGCAGAUGGAGCCAUCUUAUCGACCCGUUUGGCGACCGGCCGGCUAGCCAAGCCCCUUCGCUCCCAUCACGUCCUCUAGCUCCGACGGUCGCCUGCCCGCACGGGGAUUAGAUGUCUUCGCCGUCACACGUGAGGAUGUUCUUGGACACUCUGUGUUGCUGCUGUUUGUAGUUGCAGAAGUCUUAAGGAGUCAGAGUAGCUUCCACAUCUGUAGUUAGGGCUGACGAUUGUGAUUUUGGGCCUGUACUGAAUAAUUUUGGGAGCGGCUGGGUGAUUACAAGCCAGGAGGACUGCAUGUGAUGAGUUAAGGGCUUAAGGCACAAGAAGAACUACGGCCAUUUUAGCUCCAGCAGUAAGCCAGUGAGUACACAACCAAUCAACCAUGCAUUUUCACGACCCAGGUUUCUGAAUUCUGGCUGACAGGCUCGCUGCCACAGCCACAUAAUCGCACACAUUCAAAUUGCUAGCUACACAAAAUACGCCCGGAUCUACGAGUAGAAAUCCAAGCCUUUUAAGGUCGGUUCUUCUUCCGGGAUUGCAGAGAGCAUGGAUCGCCAUAUGGAAGGAGAUGCCAUCCUUACUGUCGUUGUCUUUGGCAUGUUGCUGCCAUCUUUCUAAUCCUUGCACUGCAGAGACCUCAGUCUAUCCAUGGUUCAGAACUGUUACCUUGCUACACCUACACAUGUGGAAAACAUAAACUUGGCAGUCUAAAAUUAAGCAGCAAACUUCAUUGCCGGUCAUCUAAAAAUUCAGUGACAACAGCUGGCACACGAGCUUCAUUUUUUAGUAGAGAUAGUAUAUGAUGCAGAUGACAGUUCUACCUCUUUGACUGAAACAAGAACUUCCUCACCAAGGGCAUACGUACAAGACAGGGGCAUACCUGCAGGACAGCAGGAGGUCCUCAGGCACGCAGCACACAUUCACCAAAGAUAUGGAGCUACCAUUUUAGAUUAGUACUAGCAUAAUGGUACGUACUGUGUGUUUUAGCAUAUUAGUAGUAGCAUACCUGCAAGAGGUCCUAAGUUUGUUCAGUUCUAUACAAAGUUGAGUUGGUAUGUAGUGUUGAGAGGAUCCUAAAAUAUUGUACUACAUAAUCUCUUUCCAGGUUCAUGAAAACUUGCACUCUCCUGUUGAAUUUCGCAUUUUGGUCGAUUUGUAC
Molecule: long non-coding RNA, 1656 nt
Organism: Triticum aestivum (bread wheat)
Lineage: Eukaryota; Viridiplantae; Streptophyta; Magnoliopsida; Poales; Poaceae
Exons: 4
Source: RefSeq, a predicted model, not a curated record